GCCGGCUCCCGGCUGGUCGCCAGGAGCAGCGGUUUCCCUCACUUCCUGCCCUGGGGCGAGCGUCCUCUCUCUUUGCGCCUUUCGCGGGAAGGCGCUAGACGACAAACUGCGGAAAUGCCUUGCGAGAACAUGGUGAGAAGGCAGCUAGAUGUCUGCAAGCCAGGAAGAGUCCUGACCAGAAACCAAAUCAGCUGGAAACUUGAUUGUGGACUUCUAGCCUCUGGAACUGUGAGAAAAUGAAUUUCUGUUUUUUCAAACACCCACUCUGUGGUAUUUUGUUAUCACAGCCAAAGCAGUCUAAUACAGUGGUGAAUUA
Mirounga angustirostris (Northern elephant seal) is the source of this 316-nucleotide long non-coding RNA. RefSeq lists it as uncharacterized. The record is from RefSeq and is a predicted model, not a curated record. The transcript has 2 exons. NCBI's taxonomy places the organism in Eukaryota, Metazoa, Chordata, Mammalia, Carnivora, Phocidae.